ACUUGCCGGCGACCGGCGCAAGGGUGCGUAACGCGUGAAGCAACAUGCCCGUAUCAGGGGGAUAAUCCAUGGAAACGUGGUCUAAUACCCCAUAGUAAUUAUGUAAGGCAUCUUAUAUAUUUAAAGCUUUGGUGGAUACGGAUUGGCUCGCGUGACAUUAGCUGGAUGGUAAGGUAACGGCUUACCAUGGCUACGAUGUCUAGGGGUUCUGAGAGGAAGGUCCCCCACACUGGAACUGAGACACGGUCCAGACUCCUACGGGAGGCAGCAGUGAGGAAUAUUGGACAAUGGAUGGAAAUCUGAUCCAGCCAUGCCGCGUGCAGGAAGACGGCCCUAUGGGUUGUAAACUGCUUUUGUAUGGGAGCAAUAAGGGCUACGUGUAGUCCGAUGAGAGUACCAUACGAAUAAGCACCGGCUAACUCCGUGCCAGCCGCCGC
This 437-nucleotide ribosomal RNA is filed under the name uncultured bacterium. RNAcentral's name for it is "bacterial SSU rRNA". It matches the Rfam family "Bacterial small subunit ribosomal RNA", at positions 83 to 518 of the family's 1533-position model. The record is from RNAcentral.